Molecule: non-coding RNA, 619 nt
Organism: Drosophila bipectinata
Lineage: Eukaryota; Metazoa; Arthropoda; Insecta; Diptera; Drosophilidae
Source: RefSeq, a predicted model, not a curated record
CACACCAGUGGUCACAGGAAUUGAGAUUAGAAAGUUACAGUAGGUGGGCAGAUUUAUUUGGAGCAGAUUCAUUGUAGCUUUAUUCCUGUUUGAGAGUCCAGCACAGGCAGCAGAGCCAACUGCAUAGCAGACAUCCAGGUUGAAUUUACUACAGUUAUGGGGGACAAGCAGCAAGAGGAUGCCAAGCAAAGCCAGCGAAGGCAGAUAAAGAAGUAGCAGGCAGCAUCUGAUUAAUCCAUGGUCCUACAAAUCAGUAUCACUGAGCCACGUUCUGAGCCAGGGAACUAGUAUGUGAUUGAAUUCCAACUGCAAGGCAGACACCGGGAUGGAUUAAUCGCAAAGGUAUAUUAGCAGCAAGGAUGACGCCAAAAGCAGAGCGCGACGCUAACUAGCCAAGGUCAAAAAUGCGUGGCACAGUGGGACAACCAUUCUCCAGGUCCAGCGACGAUGCACGGAUAUCAUUGCACCGCGCUCAGUAGACACACAGCACUUAUUAACAGGUCCCAAAUUAAUAGCGCCAUAUAAUAUCAGCAGGUAUAGAACCAUAGAGACUGGAAAGCUUCACUAGUUUUAUUCCUGUUUGAGUAUCCAGUAAAUGUACCAGAGCCAGUCACAUACA